Molecule: ribosomal RNA, 377 nt
Filed under: uncultured bacterium
Lineage: Bacteria
Description: bacterial SSU rRNA
Rfam family: Bacterial small subunit ribosomal RNA
Source: RNAcentral
UAAUACAGAGGGGGCAAGCGUUGUUCGGAAUUACUGGGCGUAAAGGGCGCGUAGGCGGCCGCCUAAGUCAGACGUGAAAUCCCUCGGCUCAACCGGGGAACUGCGUCUGAUACUGGGUGGCUUGAAUCCGGGAGAGGGAUGCGGAAUUCCAGGUGUAGCGGUGAAAUGCGUAGAUAUCUGGAGGAACACCGGUGGCGAAGGCGGCAUCCUGGACCGGCAUUGACGCUGAGGCGCGAAAGCCAGGGGAGCAAACGGGAUUAGAUACCCCGGUAGUCCUGGCCCUAAACGAUGAGUGCUUGGUGUGGCGGGUAUCGAUCCCUGCCGUGCCGAAGCUAACGCAUUAAGCACUCCGCCUGGGGAGUACGGUCGCAAGGCUG